UGACGGUCCCCCCGCAAUGCCAGGUAGCAAACCCCGCCAGGCCCGGAAGGGAGCAACGGUAGUUACCAUGUCGUGUGCCGGGGUGUGGCUGUCGGGG
Molecule: signal recognition particle RNA, 97 nt
Filed under: Halieaceae bacterium
Lineage: Bacteria; Pseudomonadati; Pseudomonadota; Gammaproteobacteria; Cellvibrionales; Halieaceae
Description: signal recognition particle sRNA small type
Rfam family: Bacterial small signal recognition particle RNA
About the family: The signal recognition particle (SRP) is a universally conserved ribonucleoprotein involved in the co-translational targeting of proteins to membranes. Archaeal SRP consists of a 7S RNA and homologues of the eukaryotic SRP19 and SRP54 proteins.
Source: RNAcentral